This 178-nucleotide ribosomal RNA is filed under the name Telfairia pedata. RNAcentral describes it as "5.8S ribosomal RNA". The stretch from base 4 to 159 matches the Rfam family "5.8S ribosomal RNA". From Rfam's summary of the family: 5.8S ribosomal RNA (5.8S rRNA) is a component of the large subunit of the eukaryotic ribosome. Lineage: Eukaryota; Viridiplantae; Streptophyta; Magnoliopsida; Cucurbitales; Cucurbitaceae. The record is from RNAcentral.
AACGACUCUCGGCAACGGAUAUCUCGGCUCUCGCAUCGAUGAAGAACGUAGCGAAAUGCGAUACUUGGUGUGAAUUGCAGGAUCCCGCGAACCACCGAGUCUUUGAACGCAAGUUGCGCCCGGAGCCAUUUGGCCGAGGGCACGUCUGCCUGGGCGUCACGCAUCGCUGCCCCCCCCC